RNAcentral lists this long non-coding RNA (359 nucleotides) under Neodiprion lecontei (redheaded pine sawfly). RNAcentral's name for it is "uncharacterized LOC124294447". The record is from RNAcentral. Lineage: Eukaryota; Metazoa; Arthropoda; Insecta; Hymenoptera; Diprionidae.
CCGGAAGCUGUGCUGUAUCCGACGCUCGUAGUCUAGGGUACCCUUCAGGAUGAGCUCACCGGAUCUUGUGAUGGCGAACCUCUCGAGAUCCUCGCCCGCCCCGACCAGCCAGAACCUCAAGUUCUACAGUUAGGUAACGUGUGAAGAGAUCCGUUUACCGGCUGUGGGUCCGGCGCCGAGUCCUCCCUCCCGAGCGACGACGACAGUUGCCAGAGCGUAUCGAUCCGGAUUGUCAACCUGGGUCGCCUGCGAUUGCCAUGAAUGGAACAACAUAGACAUUACGAGAACAUCGAAUCACCUUUAUCACCAGCGUCGUGGGUGCGACGACCUCGUGGUCCCUCAGGCUUCUGGUGAGCACC